GUGGGGAAUAUUGCGCAAUGGGGGAAACCCUGACGCAGCAACGCCGCGUGAUUGAAGAAGGCCUUCGGGUUGUAAAGAUCUUUAAUCGGGGACGAAUAAAUGACGGUACCCAAAGAAUAAGCUCCGGCUAACUACGUGCCAGCAGCCGCGGUAAUACGUAGGGAGCAAGCGUUAUCCGGAUUUACUGGGGGUAAAGGGCGAGUAGGCGGGCCGACAAGUUGGGAGUGAAAUCCGGGGGCUUAACCCCCGAACUGCUUUCAAAACUGUUGGUCUUGAGUGAUGGAGAGGCAGGCGGAAUUCCCAGUGUAGCGGUGAAAUGCGUAGAUAUUGGGAGGAACACCAGUGGCGAAGGCGGCCUGCUGGACAUUAACUGACGCUGAGGCGCGAAAGCGUGGGGAGCAAACAGGAUUAGAAACCCCAGUAGUCC
RNAcentral lists this ribosomal RNA (427 nucleotides) under uncultured bacterium. Its description in RNAcentral is "partial 16S ribosomal RNA". It matches the Rfam family "Bacterial small subunit ribosomal RNA", at positions 354 to 796 of the family's 1533-position model. The record is from RNAcentral.